AGCGUUAUCCGGAAUUAUUGGGCGUAAAGAGCUCGUAGGCGGUUUGUCGCGUCUGCCGUGAAAGUCCGGGGCUUAACUCCGGAUCUGCGGUGGGUACGGGCAGACUUGAGUGAUGUAGGGGAGACUGGAAUUCCUGGUGUAGCGGUGAAAUGCGCAGAUAUCAGGAGGAACACCGAUGGCGAAGGCAGGUCUCUGGGCAUUAACUGACGCUGAGGAGCGAAAGCAUGGGGAGCGAACAGGAUUAGAUACCCUGGUAGUCCAUGCCGUAAACGUUGGGCACUAGGUGUGGGGGACAUUCCACGUUUUCCGCGCCGUAGCUAACGCAUUAAGUGCCCCGCCUGGGGAGUACGGCCGCAAGGCUAAAACUCAAAGGAAUUGACGGGGGCCCGCACAAGCGGCGGAGCAUGCGGAUUAAUUCGAUGCAACGCGAAGAACCUUACCAAGGCUUGACAUGAACCGGAACGGCGCAGAGAUGUGUCGGCCACUUGUGGCCGGUUUACAGGUGGUGCAUGGUUGUCGUCAGCUCGUGUCGUGAGAUGUUGGGUUAAGUCCCGCAACGAGCGCAACCCUCGUUCCAUGUUGCCAGCGGGUUAUGCCGGGGACUCAUGGGAGACUGCCGGGGUCAACUCGGAGGAAGGUGGGGACGACGUCAAAUCAUCAUGCCCCUUAUGUCUUGGGCUUCACGCAUGCUACAAUGGCCGGUACAAAGGGUUGCGAUGCUGUGAGGUGGAGCUAAUCCCAAAAAGCCGGUCUCAGUUCGGAUUGAGGUCUGCAACUCGACCUCAUGAAGUCGGAGUCGCUAGUAAUCGCAGAUCAGCAACGCUGCGGUGAAUACGUUCCCGGGCCUUGUACACACCGCCCGUCAAGUCACGAAAGUUGGUAACACCCGAAGCCGGUGGCCUAACCCCUU
RNAcentral lists this ribosomal RNA (910 nucleotides) under Arthrobacter tumbae. Its description in RNAcentral is "bacterial SSU rRNA". It matches the Rfam family "Bacterial small subunit ribosomal RNA", at positions 537 to 1444 of the family's 1533-position model. The record is from RNAcentral. Lineage: Bacteria; Bacillati; Actinomycetota; Actinomycetes; Micrococcales; Micrococcaceae.